GACGAACGCUGGCGGCGCGCUUAACACAUGCAAGUCGAACGGAAAGGCCUGCUUUCCCUUGUGGAUUGCGGGUACUCGAGUGGCGAACGGGUGAGUAACACGUGAGUGAUCUGCCCCCAACUUGGGUAUAAGCCUGGGAAACUGGGUCUAAUUCCCGAUAGGACUGCAGGGUGGUGCCUGUGGUGGAAAACGAUUUUCUAGUGGUUGGGGAUGAGCUCGCGGCCUAUCAGCUUGUUGGUGGGGUAAUGGCCUACCAAGGCGGCGACGGGUAGCCGGCCUGGGGGGGUGGGCGGCCACAUUGGGACUGAGAUACGGCCCAGACUCCUACGGGCAGAAGCAGUGGGGAGUAAUGCACAAGGAGCGGAAGCCUGAUGCAGCGACGCCGAGUGGGGGAUGACGGGCUUCGGGUUGUAAACUCCUUUCGACCGCGAGGAAGCCACCUGGUUGGAAGGGUGGUGACGGUAGUGGUAGAAGAAGCACCGGCUAACUACGUG
RNAcentral lists this ribosomal RNA (494 nucleotides) under uncultured bacterium. Its description in RNAcentral is "partial 16S ribosomal RNA". It matches the Rfam family "Bacterial small subunit ribosomal RNA", at positions 28 to 507 of the family's 1533-position model. The record is from RNAcentral.